AGACCCCGCAGCUGGACUGUUCUCUGCUGCCUCUCGCUUACUGUGGCGUCCCAUUGCUGUUUUGAUCAGCAAUCCUGUAUUCUAUGCAGACUUACUUCUCUGCCACUGCUCUGAGACAGCAAGAUUCUAAAGGCAUCAAGACUCCAAGAUGCCCCAAAGUUCCUUUUGUGGAAAGCUAAACAUUUCUCUCAUGUGCUGGCCCGGUAUUAUGAUUUUUUUCUGAAACAGUCACUUCCUGUCACAAGGAUAAGUCGACUGUUCCCAAGGCAUCCCAGAGAAGCCUGAAGUAGAGUUGUUGGUGCAUGCUGAAGUGAGACCACAAAGAAAUCUGACUAGGAACACAGCAUUCUUUGAGCCAGCCUUGCAAAGGCUGCCUGCAGUGAGGCUGGCCCCACCUGAGUCAUCUCUGAGUGGGAAGGACUGGAGCCAGCUGUCUCUUCAGGCUGGCGGGGUUUGUAUUUCUCUGCCAAAGUCACACUUCAAGCAAGUGAAACAGUCCUGAGUUGUUAGCUGGGGUCAGAGUCACAGCGCCACUCAAUAGACUUCCCUCUCCCCAGCUGUCCUCCUCUGUCCUCCGCUUCCCAGGCUUCACAGGGGCCGAGGCCCUUAGGGAAGGCACAUUGCAUUCUGACUGUGUGCAAGAAGAGUCUAUGUUCUGACACGAUCGCCUCCCAGAACUGCAAUUCUAUUCAUUCUAUUAAAAAAAAAAAUUCCACC
This 717-nucleotide long non-coding RNA is filed under the name Mus spretus (western wild mouse). Its description in RNAcentral is "lncRNA (ENSMSPG00010042461.1)". The record is from RNAcentral. Lineage: Eukaryota; Metazoa; Chordata; Mammalia; Rodentia; Muridae.